CCCUGCGGGAGGCAGCAGUGGGGAAUAUUGGGCAAUGGGCGCAAGCCUGACCCAGCAACGCCGCGUGAAGGAAGAAGGCUUUCGGAUUGUAAACUUCUUUUCUCAGGGACGAAGCAAGUGACGGUACCUGAGGAAUAAGCCACGGCUAACUACGUGCCAGCAGCCGCGGUAAUACGUAGGUGGCAAGCGUUAUCCGGAUUUACUGGGUGUAAAGGGCGUGUAGGCGGGGACGCAAGUCAGAUGGGAAAACCACGGGCUCAACCUGUUGCCUGCAUUUUGAACUGUG
Molecule: ribosomal RNA, 286 nt
Filed under: uncultured bacterium
Lineage: Bacteria
Description: partial 16S ribosomal RNA
Rfam family: Bacterial small subunit ribosomal RNA
Source: RNAcentral